CGCUCCUCCUGUUUUUCUGCUGGAGCUAUCUUGAGUGUUGAUGAUUGUGCUGCUAUGGAAUUGCUAAAGUUGCUGCUGCCAUGGAUUAGAAAGAAAGGGGAUUGUCGCGUUUAAAUUCUGUGGUUUCGACUAACGGAGGUUCAUUUUAAAUUUUUGACCAUGGAACAUCAAGAUUUAGUGGAUAAGAAUGAAGAGAGCAUUCAAUCGAUCGAAAAGGUUAGCAAUGCUGAAGAUCAGGAUAAGAUGAAUGAGGUUGAAAGUGUGAAAUCUGAGUUGGUUAAUGUUGAUGAGAGCAAGGAUUUGCAAUCUGAAACUUGUUGUCUUUGGGUUAUUUCUGCAGACUGCUCAUAUUUGAUAACAUAGAGAAUGGAAGCUUAAAGGAGCAUCUCAAUGGUAAUUUUUGAAAGAAAUUAGAAGGAUGAGGUUGCAGAUUGCUAAUGAAGUUGUAGCAGCACUGCAAAGUCAUGGAUAUCUUCAUAAAGGCUGCUGAAUAUAUGAAAAUUCCAGUUCGUAGGACUGAUGACGAACCUCUUCAAAAGCUCUUUAUGUUAUUGAGGAGUGAGUUGAACCUUGACCUCAAGAACAUUAAGGAGUGCUGAAAUGGUGACCAUAUGCUACCUUGAGGGCUCAAGAAUGUUUUGAUGCAUAGAGACACUAAUCUAUGUUAGAACUUUUAUGUUUUGGUUGAACUUUUAUGUUAGAACUUUUAUGUUUUGGUUGAACUAAUCAAUGUACUCACUAGCUAAUGUUAUUUUGUUUCAAGACAAUUUUAGCUAAAAAGAUCUUGUUUGACUUAUGUAUGUAUUUGCAUAUUAUAUACAUG
Long non-coding RNA from Arachis stenosperma, 823 nucleotides. RefSeq lists it as uncharacterized. NCBI's taxonomy places the organism in Eukaryota, Viridiplantae, Streptophyta, Magnoliopsida, Fabales, Fabaceae. The transcript has 4 exons. The record is from RefSeq and is a predicted model, not a curated record.